UUAACGAACUAGACUUAAAAAACAGACACAACUUGUCAAACGACACAACAUCCACAAGAAUGUCCACCGCCACCACCAGUUUUUUCGAACCAGCCUCCGUGACCAGCAGUGGCCGUCCAGUCCUCCACCAAGCCGAAGUAGAAUGCCACCUCCUCUCACCUGUAGACCUUGAAACCGAACCCACCACCACCGCGACAACCACCAUCAAUUCACUUGACUUCCCUGCAUUAAAAUCAGGCCUUGGAAUCCUCACCACACACCGCCUCCUUUGGCUUCCUUCUAAUGCUACGACAGACAGUUCAAGUCCAAUAUCAAUCCCUUUGAGUUCUGUAACUCAUAUAUUUUCACCAAAAAAGUCGAUCAAGUCAAUGUUUCACUCACCCCGGAUCCGGUUUCAAGUUUCUAUGCAUUCAAGGAGUGUUGUGGUGACUUUAGUGAUUAGAGGGAAGGGAGAUAUUGAUGGGUUUUUGACAAAGUUUUGGGAUUGUUGGAGAGGAAGGGCUUGGGAGACUGGUAAUGAUAGUGGCGGUGGGUCAAGUUCGGGGUCUGUUCCGGCUUCUGGGUCAGUUUCGGGUGGUGGGUUAUACUCGAGUGAUGGGUCAGUGAGGCUAGUGGGUGUGUCUGGGAUAUUGAGGAAAGAGCAGGAGAUGUGGGAAAGUACUGAUAAGAGCUUGCAAGAGGCUUUUCAUGACUUGAAUGCUCUUAUGAGAAAGGCCAAAGAAAUGGUCAUCCUAGCAGAGAAGAUGAGGCAGAAGCUUUUGUCUGGAUCGAGCUCUCAAAGUAGUUCUGGGAAUGAUGAGGAAAUGGGUUCCAAAGAAGAGAUGCAAGAUUGGCUGUUGAGUGUUGGUAUCGUAUCUCCAGUAACAAAAGAAUCUGCAGGUGCCAUGUAUCAUCAACAACUGUCCCGUCAGUUGGCAGAUUUUGUCAGAAUUCCCCUAGAGAAAGCUGGAGGAAUGAUCAAUCUUAUAGAUAUCUAUUGCCUCUUCAAUCGUGCUCGGGGCACAGAAUUGAUCUCACCUGAGGAUUUGUUGCAAGCAUGUUCUCUUUGGGAGAAGUUUGAUGUUCCAGUAAUGCUUCGGAAAUUUGAUAGUGGAGUGAAGGUCAUCCAGAAUAAGUCCCAUAGUGAUGAGGAGGUUUUUGCAAGAAUCAAAAACCUUGUAUCAAAGCCUGAAGCCCUGCGGUCUGGAAUAACUGCUAGUGAUGCUGCCAUGACAUUGGGUAUUGCUCCAGCUAUGGCCAAGGAGCAUCUUCUAACUGCUGAGAGCAAAGGAUUGCUAUGCAGGGAUAUAAGCCCUGAUGGAUUUCGCUUUUUCAUUAACCUCUUUCCUGAAAUCAAUUCUGAUGAUAUACACAUGUAAGGGUGAAGGAUCAUGGGAUUUAUUCUCUGUGGAUAAAAAGUUGGUAGCUGUUUCUGCUCAGAAAUCUGAAACCAGCACACAGCAUGACAAUUGUCUAUUAAUGCAGAGAAUUUUUUUUCCCCUUUCACUCAAUCAGCCAUCAAAUGCCAAUCAAACCUUGAUAGGCCAGGAUUUAAGGUGGCAUUGCGACGUGAUGAUCGCAAGGUAGCUGCUGCAGCACAGAGACAUGGUUUUUAACACACGAUCAAGUCAACCUAAAUCAAACAAAUGAAUGACAACUUUGUUGGUGUUACUUUUGGAGAUGAUACUCUUAAUUUCUGGGACAGUAAAUACAAGGAAAUACAAUAUUUUGUGUAAGAGUGAUCUUUGUAAUUUAUGGAUCAAGUAAAUACAUAACUGCAAGGAGCAUCAUGCUUUAUUCAUCUAUCCAAUUUAGGACUAUGUCCUGAGAGAAAUCAGGAUUUGGUGUUUUUGCCA
Molecule: RNA transcript, 1835 nt
Organism: Populus trichocarpa (black cottonwood)
Lineage: Eukaryota; Viridiplantae; Streptophyta; Magnoliopsida; Malpighiales; Salicaceae
Gene name: vacuolar protein sorting-associated protein 36
Exons: 9
Source: RefSeq, a predicted model, not a curated record